This 238-nucleotide ribosomal RNA is filed under the name uncultured bacterium. RNAcentral's name for it is "partial 16S ribosomal RNA". It matches the Rfam family "Bacterial small subunit ribosomal RNA", at positions 15 to 236 of the family's 1533-position model. The record is from RNAcentral.
GAUCCUGGCUCAGGAUUAACGCUGGCGGCGUGCAUAACACAUGCAAGUCGAACGAUGAAGAUUAUUAGACUUCUUCGGAAUGAAAAUAAUUGGAUUAGUGGCGGACGGGUGAGUAACGCGUGAGUAACCUGCCUUACACAAGGGGAUAGCCGUUGGAAACGACGAAUAAUACCCUGUGAAACUAUCACUUCGCAUGAAGCGAUAGUCAAAGUGUUAGCGGUGUAAGAUGGACUUGCGU